This 1398-nucleotide ribosomal RNA is filed under the name uncultured bacterium. RNAcentral describes it as "bacterial SSU rRNA". It matches the Rfam family "Bacterial small subunit ribosomal RNA". The record is from RNAcentral.
AGAGUUUGUUCCUGGCUCAGGAUGAACGCUGGCGGCGUGCUUAACACAUGCAAGUCGAACGAAGCACUUUAUUUGAUUUCCUUCGGGACUGAUUAUUUUGUGACUGAGUGGCGGACGGGUGAGUAACGCGUGGGUAACCUGCCUUGUACAGGGGGAUAACAGUUGGAAACGGCUGCUAAUACCGCAUAAGCGCACAGCAUCGCAUGAUGCAGUGUGAAAAACUCCGGUGGUAUAAGAUGGACCCGCGUUGGAUUAGCUAGUUGGUGAGGUAACGGCCCACCAAGGCGACGAUCCAUAGCCGACCUGAGAGGGUGACCGGCCACAUUGGGACUGAGACACGGCCCAAACUCCUACGGGAGGCAGCAGUGGGGAAUAUUGCACAAUGGGCGAAAGCCUGAUGCAGCGACGCCGCGUGAGCGAAGAAGUAUUUCGGUAUGUAAAGCUCUAUCAGCAGGGAAGAUAAUGACGGUACCUGACUAAGAAGCACCGGCUAAAUACGUGCCAGCAGCCGCGGUAAUACGUAUGGUGCAAGCGUUAUCCGGAUUUACUGGGUGUAAAGGGAGCGCAGGCGGUGCGGCAAGUCUGAUGUGAAAGCCCGGGGCUCAACCCCGGUACUGCAUUGGAAACUGUCGUACUAGAGUGUCGGAGGGGUAAGCGGAAUUCCUAGUGUAGCGGUGAAAUGCGUAGAUAUUAGGAGGAACACCAGUGGCGAAGGCGGCUUACUGGACGAUAACUGACGCUGAGGCUCGAAAGCGUGGGGAGCAAACAGGAUUAGAUACCCUGGUAGUCCACGCCGUAAACGAGAAUUUUUGGGGGUGGGGAAGCAUUGCUUCUCGGUGCCGUCGCAAACGCAGUAAGUUAUUCCCCCUGGGGGAGUCGGUUCGCAAGAAAUGAACCUCAAAGGGAAUUGAGCGGGGACCGCACCAAGCGGGGGAGCAUGUGGUUUAAUUCGAAGCAACGGGAAGAACCUUACCAAAGUCUUGACAUCCUUCUGACCGGUACUUAAUCGUACCUUCUCUUCGGAGCAGGAGUGACAGGUGGUGCAUGGUUGUCGUCAGCUCGUGUCGUGAGAUGUUGGGUUAAGUCCCGCAACGAGCGCAACCCUUAUCUUUAGUAGCCAGCGGUCCGGCCGGGCACUCUAGAGAGACUGCCAGGGAUAACCUGGAGGAAGGCGGGGAUGACGUCAAAUCAUCAUGCCCCUUAUGACUUGGGCUACACACGUGCUACAAUGGCGUAAACAAAGGGAAGCAAAGCUGUGAAGCCGAGCAAAUCUCAAAAAUAACGUCUCAGUUCGGACUGUAGUCUGCAACCCGACUACACGAAGCUGGAAUCGCUAGUAAUCGCAGAUCAGAAUGCUGCGGUGAAUACGUUCCCGGGUCUUGUACACACCGCCCGUCA